RNAcentral lists this long non-coding RNA (293 nucleotides) under Homo sapiens (human). Its description in RNAcentral is "non-protein coding lnc-GAP43-14:1". Lineage: Eukaryota; Metazoa; Chordata; Mammalia; Primates; Hominidae. The record is from RNAcentral.
CCAGGACUGAUAGAUUUAUCGUGCUUUCCAGAGAUGACUUGUAGCCAUGGUUAAGAGCCAUAGUAAAUAAACCAAAGCCAUAAGAAAGAGGGUUCUUCAAAAAUUUCAAACAAUCAGCAGCACUGAAUGACCGUCACAGCCACUAAUGAAGUUUUUUUUUUUAUUAUUAUGAUACUGAAUUGUAAAGGUUUUCAACAUGUCUUAAAAUUGACACUUUCCCAUGGGGAAGUAGGGUCUGCAUUCUCUCCCCUGGAACCUGGACUAAACUUAGGGAAUGAUUGACUGGUAGAGCA